GACGAACGCUGGCGGCGUGCCCAAUACAUGCAAGUUGAGCGCUGAAGGUUGGUACUUGUACCAACUGGAUGAGCAGCGAACGGGUGAGUAACGCGUGGGGAAUCUGCCUUUGAGCGGGGGACAACAUUUGGAAACGAAUGCUAAUACCGCAUAAAAACUUUAAACACAAGUUUUAAGUUUGAAAGAUGCAAUUGCAUCACUCAAAGAUGAUCCCGCGUUGUAUUAGCUAGUUGGUGAGGUAAAGGCUCACCAAGGCGAUGAUACAUAGCCGACCUGAGAGGGUGAUCGGCCACAUUGGGACUGAGACACGGCCCAAACUCCUACGGGAGGCAGCAGUAGGCAAUCUUCGGCAAUGGACGAAAGUCUGACCGAGCAACGCCGCGUGAGUGAAGAAGGUUUUCGGAUCGUAAAACUCUGUUGGUAGAGAAGAACGUUGGUGAGAGUGGAAAGCUCAUCAAGUGACGGUAACUACCCAGAAAGGGACGGCUAACUACGUG
RNAcentral lists this ribosomal RNA (497 nucleotides) under uncultured bacterium. RNAcentral's name for it is "partial 16S ribosomal RNA". It matches the Rfam family "Bacterial small subunit ribosomal RNA", at positions 28 to 507 of the family's 1533-position model. The record is from RNAcentral.